Molecule: unclassified non-coding RNA, 391 nt
Filed under: soil metagenome
Description: partial contains 5.8S ribosomal RNA, internal transcribed spacer 2, and large subunit ribosomal RNA
Rfam family: 5.8S ribosomal RNA (bases 1-122)
Source: RNAcentral
GAUGAAGAACGCAGCGAAAUGAGAUACUUGGUGUGAAUUGCAGAAUCCCGUGAACCAUCGAGUCUUUGAACGCAAGUUGCGCCCGAAGCCAUUAGGCCGAGGGCACGCCUGCCUGGGCGUCACACGUCGUUGCCCCCCCAUCUACUCCUUCGGGAUUGCGGGGGGCGGAUGAUGGCCUCCCGUGCGCCUCGUCGCGCGGUUGGCAUAAAUGCCAAGUCCUCGGCGACGCACGCCACGACAAUCGGUGGUUGCGAAACCUCGGUUGCCCGUCGUGUGCGGUCGUCGCGCAUCGAGGGCUCGAAAAAAUUGCCGGGCUCCGGCUCGGCUUUCAACGCGACCCCAGGUCAGGUGGGGUUACCCGCUGAAUUUAAGCAUAUCAAUAAGCGGAGGA